GUCGAACGAACCUUCGGGUUAGUGGCGGACGGGUGAGUAACGCGUGAGAAUCUGCCCUCAGGAGGGGGAUAACGGUUGGAAACGACCGCUAAUACCCCAUAUGCCUAUUGGUGAAAUGAAUUUCGCCUGAGGAUGAGCUCGCGUCUGAUUAGCUAGUUGGUGUGGUAAUGGCUCACCAAGGCUUCGAUCAGUAGCUGAUCUGAGAGGAUGAUCAGCCACACUGGGACUGAGACACGGCCCAGACUCCUACGGGAGGCAGCAGUGGGGAAUUUUCCGCAAUGGGCGAAAGCCUGACGGAGCAACGCCGCGUGAGGGAUGAAGGCCUCUGGGCUGUAAACCUCUUUUCUCAAGGAAGAAGAUAUGACGGUACUUGAGGAAUAAGCCACGGCUAAUUCCGUGCCAGCAGCCGCGGUAAUACGGGAGUGGCAAGCGUUAUCCGGAAUUAUUGGGCGUAAAGCGUCCGCAGGCGGCUUUUCAAGUCUGCUGUUAAAACGUGGAGCUUAACUCCAUCAUGGCAGUGGAAACUGAAAGGCUUGAGUAUGGUAGGGGCAGAGGGAAUUCCCGGUGUAGCGGUGAAAUGCGUAGAUAUCGGGAAGAACACCAGUGGCGAAGGCGCUCUGCUGGGCCAUUACUGACGCUCAUGGACGAAAGCCAGGGGAGCGAAAGGGAUUAGAUACCCCUGUAGUCCUGGCCGUAAACGAUGAACACUAGGUGUCGGGGGAAUCGACCCCUUCGGUGUCGUAGCUAACGCGUUAAGUGUUCCGCCUGGGGAGUACGCACGCAAGUGUGAAACUCAAAGGAAUUGACGGGGGCCCGCACAAGCGGUGGAGUAUGUGAUUUAAUUCGAUGCAACGCGAAGAACCUUACCAGGGUUUGACAUCCUGCGAACCUCUUAGAAAUUUGAGGGGUGCCUUCGGGAAUGCAGUGACAGGUGGUGCAUGGCUGUCGUCAGCUCGUGUCGUGAGAUGUGGAUAAGUCCCGCAACGAGCGCAAUCACGUUUUUACUGCCAGCAUUUAGUUGAGCACUCUAGAAAGACGUCGGUGAUAAUCGGAGAGGUGUGCACGACGUCAGUCAUCAUGCCUACGCUGGCUACCACGUGCUACAUGCUAGGACGACGCUGCAACCCGCGAAGGGAGUCAUCGACACCUAGUCCGUACUCGGAUCGGGACUGGAAUCUCGCACUCUGUGGAGUUCGGAAUUGUUA
This 1205-nucleotide ribosomal RNA is filed under the name uncultured Prochlorococcus sp. RNAcentral describes it as "partial 16S ribosomal RNA". It matches the Rfam family "Bacterial small subunit ribosomal RNA", at positions 61 to 1337 of the family's 1533-position model. The record is from RNAcentral. Lineage: Bacteria; Bacillati; Cyanobacteriota; Cyanophyceae; Synechococcales; Prochlorococcaceae.